UUGAACGCUGGCGGCAUGCCUUACACAUGCAAGUCGAACGGCAUCACGGGAGCAAUCCUGGUGGCGAGUGGCGAACGGGUGAGUAAUGUAUCGGAACGUACCUUUCAGUGGGGGAUAACGUAGCGAAAGUUACGCUAAUACCGCAUAUUCUGUGAGCAGGAAAGCAGGGGAUCGCAAGACCUUGCGCUGAUUGAGCGGCCGAUAUCAGAUUAGGUAGUUGGUGGGGUAAAAGCCUACCAAGCCUGCGAUCUGUAGCUGGUCUGAGAGGACGACCAGCCACACUGGGACUGAGACACGGCCCAGACUCCUACGGGAGGCAGCAGUGGGGAAUUUUGGACAAUGGGCGAAAGCCUAAUCCAGCCAUGCCGCGUGCGGGAAGAAGGCCUUCGGGUUGUAAACCACUUUUGUCAGGGAAGAAAUCCUUUGAGCUAAUACCUCAGAGGGAUGACGGUACCUGAAGAAUAAGCACCGGCUAACUACGU
RNAcentral lists this ribosomal RNA (482 nucleotides) under uncultured bacterium. RNAcentral's name for it is "bacterial SSU rRNA". It matches the Rfam family "Bacterial small subunit ribosomal RNA", at positions 30 to 506 of the family's 1533-position model. The record is from RNAcentral.